RNAcentral lists this ribosomal RNA (442 nucleotides) under uncultured bacterium. RNAcentral's name for it is "partial 16S ribosomal RNA". It matches the Rfam family "Bacterial small subunit ribosomal RNA", at positions 338 to 795 of the family's 1533-position model. The record is from RNAcentral.
UCUACGGGCGGCAGCAGUGGGGAAUAUUGCACAAUGGGGGGAACCCUGAUGCAGCAACGCCGCGUGAAGGAAGACGGUUUUCGGAUUGUAAACUUCUAUCAAUAGGGAAGAAAGAAAUGACGAUACCUAAAUAAGAAGCCCCGGCUAACUACGUGCCAGCAGCCGCGGUAAUACGUAAGGGGCAAGCGUUAUCCGGAUUUAUUGGGUUUAAAGGGUGCGUAGGCGGUCCGUUAAGUCAGCGGUAAAAUUGCGGGGCUCAACCCCGUCGAGCCGUUGAAACUGGCAGACUUGAGUUGGCGAGAAGUACGCGGAAUGCGCGGUGUAGCGGUGAAAUGCAUAGAUAUCGCGCAGAACUCCGAUUGCGAAGGCAGCGUACCGGCGCCAGACUGACGCUGAGGCACGAAAGCGUGGGGAUCGAACAGGAUUAGAUACCCCGGUAGUC